CACGGGAAGGAUAAAGCCAAAGGAGCAGCUCAGAACGAAUGUCCUUAAAGGUCCUUCUCACCCUCAGCUCGAAAAGCAGUGCAUCCUCCUCCUGUGGGAAAUGCAUCCUAACACACUCGGCACUGGCGUUUGAGUCCAUCUUGCUCGAGUCUACAAAGACCGGCCAAUGACCACCUACGUGAGGGAACCCGAUAAGCAGAACUUCAUGAUGAUGAUUUGAUUCCAGCGUCUUAAACCAAGGCCAAGAACAUUAAUGAAAAACAUCCAGCACUCAAAUGUCUCUGUUUGUCAGCAAAUAAUAUUCACAAGGGGAUAUUCAGAAUCAUCUUCAAAGUGGAGAAGGAAAAUAACAACAUAAAAGGCAAGAGUUCCCAGGAAAAUGUGCUACAGAUGAACAGGAGAUACAAAUAUAACACCAAAGGCAGGGCCUCAGGUAAACACUCCCCACACUUUGCCACAAACCAGUCUCCGCAUACCCCUAAGCCAAAUAAACAAAGCCUGGGCAAAUGUCAAUAUUUAAAUACCAUAUCCCAAGGUUUCUCUCUCACAUACACAGUUAUAUACGUAUAAAAUCUCAUUAGACUAACUUGAAAGUGGGUUUUAACUAAAAUAUAAAAAGACUUGGGGAUUUUUUCUCAGUCCUGCUAGGCUAGUCUCCAUUCCAAGCUCUAGCAUCCCAGGAAUCUGAUGGUGACUUCAUGCAGGGCAAAGGUGGCCCAGGAAGAAAACCAAAAAUUAGACGGAGAGGCUGGACCCCCAUCUGAACUCACAGCUGGGUCUCAGAGGUUGACAGGAGGCAUCAGACACCCUCGGCCAUGGCUCAAUGUGCAAAACCCCACUUGGGGCUGAAUGCAGGCCUUGGAGCAAGGUCCAGGAGGCCAGGUGUCCCCCACCCGAGGCCCAUUAAGUAAGUCUCUUUCAGGGGGCUACAAGAAGGGACAGGAACUGCCUGGGACACGAAUGACCUUAAGCUUUUGCCAAGAAGCACAGAUAAUCUCUCUGUAAGAAAAUCACAGGGUAAGAGCAUAAGAAGGGGCGGACACACACAAAGAGAAGGAAAGAGGAAAGCAGCUCUCCUGCCAAGGCCUUGCAGGAGUAGGGGAGGAAUUGGGAGCAUGGUUCUCUUCCUUCAUUCUCCUAGUCACUGCUAUGAACCCCACCCCCACCUAUUGCACACAUACCCAAGGCCACACAAGGAACCAAGGCCAUGGCCUUGCCAAGGGCAGCUGGAAGAACCAACCCCAAGUGCUGUUUCUGCCAUCUCCCUCUGACCAAGCUCCGGAAAAGACAACAGAUCCAUCUUAAAAUUCCACAGGCCCUGUUCCAUAGUCCUCCAUGGCUCCCUAUUGCUCAGGAGAGAAUCAGGACCUAUGCUGACAUUCCAACUCCAAGGUGGCCCUACCUUGCUUUUCAUGUUUUGCCCCCACUCCCACACUCAGGAAUUUUGCUCCAACCCCACACCCAGCACCACCAUCCCAGGUAGGAAUGGUACCACCGCUCAAAUGUGCAGCCCAGACAGAUAAAUCAGUAUGCAAAAAAGUCAUUUACAACACAACAGAAUCAUCAUUCUCACAGGGCAAGUACAGGCGGUUCAGGAUGGAGAGGCUCCUGACUGUGAGAACUGAGGCUGCCCCACCCCAGGGAAAACUUCACCAGCAACGUUCUACCUGAUCUGCACUCUGAAGGGCUGAAGAGGCAAACAGGAGGCAGGAAGGGUGCUACAGGCUGAGGGAACUGCAUGCACUAAAGCAGAGAGAAGGGAGAAAUGUGACUCCCUGGGAAAAUGAGGGGCCUGUGUAUGGAUGGUAGUGAGGCUGGAAGGUUGGCAGAAGGCAGGUCCUAUGAAGGACCCUUUACAGCAGCAGAUAUAAAAAUAGAACUUCAUCCUACACAUGAGAGGUAGCCACUGAUGGUUUUCAAGCAGGGGACAACCCAAGGUGAUUUCCAUUGCACAAAUCUCAUUCUUCUCACAGUGUAGAGAAAGGGCUGGAGACGGGAGGUGAGCUAGGCAGCACAGAGACUUAGGUUACUGCAAGAAGAGAUCAUCCAGGCCUGGACUUAGGUAGUGGCAACAGACCUGGGGUGGUGCUAGGCAAUUUUCAAAAGACUUGAUGGCACAAUUAAUUAAGGUGAGGGAAUGGCCAAAAGUGGUGCUCAGGUCUUGUUCAGGAAACAGACACACAAAUGUCCAAUUUAAAUAAAAUGUGCUAGGGGUGAUGACAGAUAUUCACAGGGUGUUGUGGAUGGCUGGGGGUGUGAGAGGGGAGAAGGGCGCUGAGAAGGCACAGUCAGAGGGGCCAGAGGAAACCCAGAAGGAGCCCAGCAGCCCAGGCAGGAGACCAUUGUAAGGAGUCAGCUGCACACCUGCAGAUGCCCCAGGGAGGACCAGUCAACUCAGGACUGAAAUGUGAGCAGCCCGUGACCAGGUUUUUGUUUUGUUUUCUGAUGGGUCCCAAGUGCCUACAACAGCGCUUGGCACAUAGUGGGGAUUAAUAAAUAUUUAUGUAAUG
RNAcentral lists this long non-coding RNA (2510 nucleotides) under Homo sapiens (human). Its description in RNAcentral is "HSALNT0107217". Lineage: Eukaryota; Metazoa; Chordata; Mammalia; Primates; Hominidae. The record is from RNAcentral.